Molecule: non-coding RNA, 146 nt
Filed under: uncultured Gemmiger sp.
Lineage: Bacteria; Bacillati; Bacillota; Clostridia; Eubacteriales; Oscillospiraceae
Source: RNAcentral
GCAGAGUAGGGAUCUGCGCGUCAGGCACAGCGGCAACGGCGCCGCUGUGCCGCAGUGCCUGGCCAACGGGGAGUUGUGGCAGGACGAAGAGGCCCGGCGGAACAUCCGUUCCACCGGCCCGCGGUGCCGGUCCCGCAUCCCACUGC